This 72-nucleotide transfer RNA is filed under the name Sphaerodactylus townsendi. RNAcentral's name for it is "tRNA-Ala". It matches the Rfam family "tRNA". From Rfam's summary of the family: Transfer RNA (tRNA) molecules are approximately 80 nucleotides in length. Their secondary structure includes four short double-helical elements and three loops (D, anti-codon, and T loops). The record is from RNAcentral. Lineage: Eukaryota; Metazoa; Chordata; Lepidosauria; Squamata; Sphaerodactylidae.
GGGGCUGUGGCUCAGUGGUAGAACCUCUGCUUAGCAUACAUAAGCUUCCAGGUUCAAUUCUUGGCAUUGCCA